RNAcentral lists this ribosomal RNA (157 nucleotides) under Burkholderia gladioli. RNAcentral describes it as "partial 16S rRNA". It matches the Rfam family "Bacterial small subunit ribosomal RNA", at positions 1211 to 1367 of the family's 1533-position model. The record is from RNAcentral. Lineage: Bacteria; Pseudomonadati; Pseudomonadota; Betaproteobacteria; Burkholderiales; Burkholderiaceae.
GGGCUUCACACGUCAUACAAUGGUCGGAACAGAGGGUCGCCAACCCGCGAGGGGGAGCUAAUCCCAGAAAACCGAUCGUAGUCCGGAUUGCACUCUGCAACUCGAGUGCAUGAAGCUGGAAUCGCUAGUAAUCGCGGAUCAGCAUGCCGCGGUGAAU